RNAcentral lists this ribosomal RNA (251 nucleotides) under uncultured bacterium. Its description in RNAcentral is "partial 16S ribosomal RNA". It matches the Rfam family "Bacterial small subunit ribosomal RNA", at positions 103 to 354 of the family's 1533-position model. The record is from RNAcentral.
CGGGUGAGUAACGCGUGGGUAACCUGCCCCAUACAGGGGGAUAACAGUUAGAAAUGGCUGCUAAUACCGCAUAAGCGCACUGCAUCGCAUGAUGAAGUGUGAAAAACUGAGGUGGUAUGGGAUGGGCCCGCGUCUGAUUAGCCAGUUGGCGGGGUAACGGCCCACCAAAGCGACGAUCAGUAGCCGACCUGAGAGGGUGACCGGCCACAUUGGGACUGAGACACGGCCCAAACUCCUACGGAAGGCAGCAG